Molecule: transfer RNA, 78 nt
Filed under: Methanosarcinales archaeon
Lineage: Archaea; Methanobacteriati; Methanobacteriota; Methanomicrobia; Methanosarcinales
Also listed under: 1 other name
Description: tRNA-Pro
Rfam family: tRNA
About the family: Transfer RNA (tRNA) molecules are approximately 80 nucleotides in length. Their secondary structure includes four short double-helical elements and three loops (D, anti-codon, and T loops).
Source: RNAcentral
AUGGGUAUAGGAAAGUCUGGAGUUUCCGCUCGCCUUGGGCGCGAGAGAUCGUAGGUUCAAAUCCUACUACCCGUACCA